Molecule: ribosomal RNA, 468 nt
Filed under: uncultured bacterium
Lineage: Bacteria
Description: partial 16S ribosomal RNA
Rfam family: Bacterial small subunit ribosomal RNA
Source: RNAcentral
GACGAACGCUGGCGGCGUGCUUAACACAUGCAAGUCGAACGGAAAGGCCCUGCUUUUGUGGGGUGCUCGAGUGGCGAACGGGUGCGUAACACGUGAGUAACCUGCCCUUGACUUUGGGAUAACUUCAGGAAACUGGGGCUACUACCGGAUAGGAGCUCCUGCUGCAUGGUGGGGGUUGGAUAGUUUCGGCGGUUGGGGAUGGACUCGCGGCUUAUCAGCUUGUUGGUGGGGUAGUGGCUUACCCAGGCUUUGACGGGUAGCCGGCCUGAGAGGGUGACCGGCCACAUUGGUACUGAGAGACGGCCCAGUCUCCUACGGGAGGCAGCGGUGGGGAGUAUUGCACAAUGGGCGCAAGCCUGAUGCAGCAACGCCGCGUUCGGGAUGACGGCCUUCGGGUUGUGAACCGCUUUCGCCUGUGACGAAGCGUGAGUGACGGUAAUGGGUAAAGAAGCACCGGCUAACUACGUG